Molecule: non-coding RNA, 94 nt
Organism: Triticum urartu
Lineage: Eukaryota; Viridiplantae; Streptophyta; Magnoliopsida; Poales; Poaceae
Source: Rfam
UGGAUCAUGAGGAGUUAUUGAUGCAUAAUCCAACACUUGAUCCGAGGGGUAGCAUGAGCAGCAUGGGUGAUGUCAACUUUGCAACUGAAUCCUU